AUUGCGCAAUGGAGGCAACUCUGACGCAGCCAUGCCGCGUGCAGGAAGAAGGCGCUACGCGUUGUAAACUGCUUUUAACCGGGAAGAAACCCCAGGACGUGUCCUGGGUUGACGGUACCGGAGGAAUAAGCACCGGCUAACUUCGUGCCAGCAGCCGCGGUAAUACGAAGGGUGCAAGCGUUAUCCGGAUUCAUUGGGUUUAAAGGGUGCGUAGGUGGGGCGUUAAGUCAGUGGUGAAAGCCCGCAGCUCAACUGUGGAAUUGCCAUUGAUACUGGCGCUCCUGAGUGCGCUUGAAGUAGGCGGAAUGUGCCGUGUAGCGGUGAAAUGCUUAGAUAUGGCACAGAACACCAAUUGCGAAGGCAGCUUACUAAGGCGAUACUGACGCUGAGGCACGAAAGCGUGGGGAUCAAACAGGAUUAGAUACCCUGGUAGUCCACGCCGUAAACGAUGAUCACUCGUGAUUGGCGAUAUACGGUCAGUCACCUAGCGAAAGCGUUAAGUGAUCCACCUGGGGAGUACGAUCGCAAGAUUGAAACUCAAAGGAAUUGACGG
RNAcentral lists this ribosomal RNA (553 nucleotides) under uncultured bacterium. RNAcentral describes it as "bacterial SSU rRNA". It matches the Rfam family "Bacterial small subunit ribosomal RNA", at positions 363 to 916 of the family's 1533-position model. The record is from RNAcentral.